Molecule: long non-coding RNA, 902 nt
Organism: Gallus gallus (chicken)
Lineage: Eukaryota; Metazoa; Chordata; Aves; Galliformes; Phasianidae
Source: Ensembl
AUUUUACUCUGAGUACACUUGGAAAGGAAAUGACCUCUUUUUCUUUUUUAUUUUUUCCCCUUCUCUUUAUUGAUUUAUUUAUAUUUUCCUAGCAGCCAUUCUCCACAAAUAGGUGUGUGCUUGAAAAAGGAAUUACUGACUUCAUCACCUUCAUUGAAAACAUUGUCAUGCAACACUGGAUGCCUCAGAGAAUAGCCUACCUAUGCCUUCUUCACCCCCUCUUAUCAUGUAUUUAUAAAUACUGAUAAGGUCUCCAACCUUCUCAUCUCCAGAAUGAACAGUUCCUCACAGUGGGUAGAGCUUUUCAUAUGGAUGUUGAUGAAGAAAGGAAACGUAACUGCUUGCUUGGCUUUCCAAUUGAUUUGCUGUCAAGUACACUGAGAAAUAGCUGAAGGCUUAGUACUGAAGGUAAAGUUUGGUUCUGCUGUGAUAGCAAAAUGAAUUUAAGGAGAAAGUGUGGUUUAUUAGUAUUUUAGAAGGCUGAUGACAGCAGAGAGAGGUUUGUCCAAGUCUAGAGCUGUUUUUCAGUACUCUAUGAACAAGAAGAUAUUUGAAAAAGUUAGCAGAGUUUUCCGGAUGUGAGGGUGAAACUAGUGAACUGGGAGCAAUUAGCAUGGAUUCAAGGAACUGUACCUGUUGGUGGAAGACUCUCUCUUCUUUAGACUUUGAUCAGGGUGAUCUCUAUCCUACUGUCCAUAUUGCCUACAAAGAUGAUAAAUAGUACUAGUCCCAGCACUGAUCCCUGAAGAUUGCCACUCAUCACUAGUCUCCACUUGGACAUUGAGCCAUUGACUGCAGCUCUCUAAGUGCAACCAUUCAGACAAUUAUUUAUCCAGAGAGUUGUCCACCCAUCAAAUCCCUUUUUCACCAAUUUGGUGACCAGGAUGUCAUGUGGGACAGUG